UGUACCAUAGCUAGGGAUGUAUAUGAUCAAGAGUAAAGAUCCUUUCUUCUCAAUCUUGCCACUUGGAGCUUUUGUAAAUUUUUGAAAGAAAAUUAGCAUACCUUUUUAUCCUCAUAGGUUCUCUCAGAUCACUCAUUAUCUUUUAUAUACAUCUCACUGAGGUUGUUUUAUUUUUGCAAAAAUUCUCAAGCAUACUUACUUUGCAUUUAUUGCCUGGUCAAAACGGGAUCCGAGGAGGGGAAUGUCAUACUCUUAGAUCAAAGACUUUGGAAAUUAAAAUCUUUGUCAACUCUUGCUGGCAUAUUGCUUAUUAGAGGGACCAUGGGCUAUCAUUUUUUUCUCUUUUCUCUCUCUUUUUUUUAAGUGGAUACCGAGGUACCCCUAAUUCUACUGCCGGACACUUGUCCAUUUUUUCUGCGAGGUUGUCGAGCACUUGCUCCUUUUUAUUUCCUCGAAAUAUCUUCUAUUUUUGCAUAGCCCAUGCCUCUAAUGCAAUAAUACUUAGGAAGAGUGAAUCUUUCUGAAAUAAUGUCUUGAUCUUAGGAGCAUGAUAAAUCUCUCAACAAGGGUCUAACU
Molecule: long non-coding RNA, 576 nt
Filed under: Sorghum bicolor (sorghum)
Lineage: Eukaryota; Viridiplantae; Streptophyta; Magnoliopsida; Poales; Poaceae
Description: long non-coding RNA (SBIC_LNC014017)
Source: RNAcentral